UACGGGGGGGGCAAGCGUUGUUCGGAAUUACUGGGCGUAAAGGGCGCGUAGGCGGCCUACUAAGUCGGACGUGAAAUCCCUCGGCUCAACCGGGGAGCUGCGUCCGAUACUGGUGGGCUCGAAUCCGGGAGAGGGAUGUGGAAUUCCAGGUGUAGCGGUGAAAUGCGUAGAUAUCUGGAGGAACACCGGUGGCGAAGGCGGCAUCCUGGACCGGUAUUGACGCUGAUGCGCGAAAGCCAGGGGAGCAAACGGG
RNAcentral lists this ribosomal RNA (253 nucleotides) under uncultured bacterium. RNAcentral describes it as "partial 16S ribosomal RNA". It matches the Rfam family "Bacterial small subunit ribosomal RNA", at positions 524 to 776 of the family's 1533-position model. The record is from RNAcentral.